This 894-nucleotide long non-coding RNA is filed under the name Mytilus galloprovincialis (Mediterranean mussel). Lineage: Eukaryota; Metazoa; Mollusca; Bivalvia; Mytilida; Mytilidae. The record is from RNAcentral.
GCCCCCCUUGGAUGUUAAUCGUCGUGCGUAAACAUGGGAAAGUGGUUUUACUAUUUAUAGUAUUAUAGUAAAUAAUAUAGGUCACUUGUCAGGUCGUAAAUAUCCUAAAAAUCGGGGUUAACAUUAACCUGGUAAUGGUUCACAAGUGGUAUAGGCUCUGGUAAUAAUGGUAUAUCUAUAAAAAUGGUCAAGGUAAUGUGAUCUAAGCUGUCCAGAAUCGUCUGCUACAACCGUUUAUAUAGUCCGGAAGUCUGCGGACACAGAAAGUGUGUCCGUUACUAUAACGAUAAGUGUGUCCGUAAAAUUAACGUAGCGAUUGGUUGUAAUUCUAAAUAUACAUGAUACCGGGUUCUGGAAACUAGGUUAUCUCUGUCCAUUCCGAUUGGUCCUUAAAACCGGAAGUUCCCACGGCAAUAAUAUAGAACAUGGCGCAAAAACAAAUAGAAAUACACAACUGUCGAGGAAAAAGGGAGAUAUGGGCUUAUCAAGAAUAACCCUUAGUGGGAACGUACCCUGGUUACAAUAUAGACCCUUAACGUGAUUGAAUAAAACAGGUGAGCAAAAGGGACAAGCGAUAUACAGGUCAAACUAAAGCUGGGAUCAUGUCAAAGUACCCCCCUGGUCAAACAGUGAGAACGAACCCUGUCCUAUCAAUAUUUCCCAUAAACAAUAAUAUAAUACAUACAAUACAAUACAAUACGGCCGCGAUACCUGAAAUAAAAGUGUUCAUAUGAAUAGUCCUUCCGUUCAUAAUAUAACAGUGCAGCUCAGAGUAACGGAACACGAAAAUGAAAGUGAAAGUAGAAAUGAACUCUCUGAGCAACACAAGAAAAGAAUGAAACAUGAUACAUAUAAACCUAUCAAUCUUAACUCCUACCCUUAGGCAUAACAAUA